This 755-nucleotide long non-coding RNA is filed under the name Phoenix dactylifera (date palm). RNAcentral's name for it is "long non-coding RNA (PDAC_LNC000070)". Lineage: Eukaryota; Viridiplantae; Streptophyta; Magnoliopsida; Arecales; Arecaceae. The record is from RNAcentral.
CGAUAGAUAAUUGUGAACUUUGUCUUUUCCUUAGAUUCGAGCAGCUGGAUCGAAUAUACAUCAAAAAUAUUUUUAGAAGUUUAAAAUAUAAAAAAAAAAUUAAUGGUGUGAAACGUGUGUGGUAUUUGCUAAUUAUAGCAAUUCAGGACACUUCGAGAGAAAUUUUCAAAAAUGAGGACUGUCUUCCGCCAUCAUCAGCCCUCAGGUCCACCGCUUUCUCCUCCAUUCCCGAGACUUUCUAGAGGUCGCCUACCCGUUCUUCCAAGCAGCCUUCGUCUGCUCCCCGCCGACCAAAUAAAAGAGAAAAGAUUAAAUCAAAAUAAAAGAAACGAUUCAAACGUUAAGAUAAUAAGCUGAUCGUCUUCGUUUUUGAAACUUCUAAUACUCAAUUUUUCAAAAUUCAGGACAAAUCACAACUUUUGGAGAACGGAAUGGCCAAUCGAUCGUUUUGAUUUGGAUAGCAUGGGCAAAGAAACUUUUAGAUGGAAAGGUAAAGGGCUUGACGUCGACGAUCAACCAUCCUCCUCCUUAAACUUCGAUAACUCAUUCUUGAACUUCUGAAAGUCAACCUCGAAGACGUCGUCAAUCUCUACCAUGGGCUGGUAUGUCAUGUAGCUCUUCUUCACUGCUCCAUUCUUCCUGAAAUCCGAUCAGAAGUAGUCAACAAUCAUCCAUCCAGACCUCGCAGAGGGGUGGGUUGGCCUUGUGUCGACCGCCGAGAGUGAGAGAGAGAAGAGACGAGGGAGAGAUCCCAU